UACGAGAGGUCCAAACGUUAUUCGGAAUUACUGGGCUUACAGAGUUCGUAGGCGGUUCUACAAGUGAGGUGUGAAAGCCCUCGGCUCAACCGAGGAACUGCGCUUCAAACUGUAGAACUAGAGGGAGAUAGAGGUGAGCAGAACUGAUGGUGGAGCGGUGAAAUGCGUUGAUAUCAUCAGGAAUACCGGAGGCGAAGGCGGCUCACUGGGUCUCUUCUGACGCUGAGGAACGAAAGCGUGGGGAGCGAACAGG
This 253-nucleotide ribosomal RNA is filed under the name uncultured bacterium. RNAcentral's name for it is "partial 16S ribosomal RNA". It matches the Rfam family "Bacterial small subunit ribosomal RNA", at positions 524 to 776 of the family's 1533-position model. The record is from RNAcentral.